This is a long non-coding RNA of Zea mays, 568 nucleotides long. RefSeq lists it as uncharacterized. NCBI's taxonomy places the organism in Eukaryota, Viridiplantae, Streptophyta, Magnoliopsida, Poales, Poaceae. The record is from RefSeq and is a predicted model, not a curated record. The transcript has 2 exons.
GGCUCCCACGGUUCUCGCUCGGCUUCAUAUCCGGACUAGCCGUCGCACACGGCUGUCGUAUCCCCAAGCUCUGCACUCUGGCGCCGCCUCCUCUAGCCCUGCCCGCUUGUGCCGACGGCCCGGCGCCACCUCCCGCAACUCCACACGGCGGUAACCCCAACUCUAUCCGCUAACAUCUCAGCACGAUCCUAACCAACUGUGAUCGCUGCUGCUGCGGCUUGAUCAGAGCGCGUUCUCUGGUGACAUACCUCUGGAGAUUGGGCGGCUGCAGCAGCUCUAAGGCUGACCUUAACAGCAGCAAGUUUGAGGACAACUACAGUUAGCCAAUAUGUUUUCUGUCUAUGUCCUCGCGAAGUACUAGAGCAGUAGCUACAUACCGUGGUUUGUCCAUAUCCUGUUGUUAGAUGAUCAAGGGUGAUUAGAUACAUGUUCUGGAACCAAUGUUCAGAUGACAAAUUGCAAACUAAACACCCUUUUGUUCUCUAUCUUUUUUUUUUUGCAAUUGCAAUGCGUGUAAAGUACAUUAUCAAUGUCAGCCCCAGGCAUAUCAAUCGUCCUCAUGCCCGGC